Molecule: ribosomal RNA, 498 nt
Filed under: uncultured bacterium
Lineage: Bacteria
Description: partial 16S ribosomal RNA
Rfam family: Bacterial small subunit ribosomal RNA
Source: RNAcentral
AUUGAACGCUGGCGGCAUGCCUUACACAUGCAAGUCGAACGGUAACAGGUCUUCGGAUGCUGACGAGUGGCGAACGGGUGAGUAAUACAUCGGAACGUGCCUAGUAGUGGGGGAUAACUACUCGAAAGAGUGGCUAAUACCGCAUGAGAUCUACGGAUGAAAGCAGGGGAUCGCAAGACCUUGUGCUACUAGAGCGGCCGAUGGCAGAUUAGGUAGUUGGUGGGAUAAAAGCUUACCAAGCCGACGAUCUGUAGCUGGUCUGAGAGGACGAUCAGCCACACGGGGACUGAGACACGGCCCAGACUCCACCGGGAGGCAGCGGUGGGGAAUUUUGGACGAUGGGCGAACGCCUGAGCCAGCAAUUCCGGGUGCAGGAUGAAGGCCUUCGGGUUGUAAACUGCUUUUGCACGGAAGGAAAAGCACCGGGUUAAUACCCUGGGGUCAUGACGGUACCGUAAGAAUAAGCACCGGCUAACUACGUGCCUGCAGCCGCCGUAA